RNAcentral lists this long non-coding RNA (590 nucleotides) under Nicotiana tabacum (common tobacco). Its description in RNAcentral is "long non-coding RNA (NTAB_LNC015835)". The record is from RNAcentral. Lineage: Eukaryota; Viridiplantae; Streptophyta; Magnoliopsida; Solanales; Solanaceae.
UAUCAGACCCUAAACCCACUUCCUCUCUCCCUAACUCACGCUAAUUAUUUCGCAAUUUCAUCUCCUCCCAAUUUCACUCCCAAUUUCGCUCUCUCUCAUCCAAAUUUGUAACAUAAACACUGCAAUGAGGGUUCUUAGCUAUGGGUGGAAUUUAGCUUUGUAAAAUUAAAUACCCAAUAGAUUCAUAAAGUAGCAGAAUCGUGGGGUCUCAAAAUCAGUUAGAAAUCAAUAGUUGAGAUUUUGCAAAGUGUAUUCGCAGAGACAAAAAGGUUGGGAUCUCUUUCUACCAUCAGCGUAUGUUUUCCUAUUUUUGGCUAGUUUCAGAUUUUCAUUUUUCUUUGUGAUUUUUGUUUGCAUGCACACAAAUUGGUGGUCUUACUUUUUUAUUUUAAUUUUAUAUGCAUUUUCUUUAUGAGAGUCUUUAAUUUAUUCAGUAACUACAAUUAGAAGCGAGUUUUCUGUUGGCAGAUUCUCCGGAAAAGAUCGAUUCCUUGAGCGUGUUCACAUAAUUAGUUUCUCAGUUAGCUUCAAUCGCGAGAAAUUAUUUUUCCAAAAGGCACACUGUGAGAAAUCGCUAGCUGAAGAAGUUG